This is a long non-coding RNA of Epinephelus fuscoguttatus (brown-marbled grouper), 1177 nucleotides long. RefSeq lists it as uncharacterized. NCBI's taxonomy places the organism in Eukaryota, Metazoa, Chordata, Actinopteri, Perciformes, Serranidae. The record is from RefSeq and is a predicted model, not a curated record. The transcript has 3 exons.
UUCAGCUUAAAUAUGAAAGGAGGCUGACAAUCACAGGACAGGUCUGUUCUGAGGAUACAAGUCAUCGGUCCUGACGUGUGUUUCUCUUCCACAACACACAUUCUACAUCUUGGAGGCCAUGUCUUUCCACACAUGAGCUUCCUUCUUCUUCUUUCAAAUGGGGCAGAGCUCAGUGGGAAACAUUAGGAGAGACACAGGCGAGGCCAUCUGUAGACCUAGUAAUGUUUUAUGUUAUUAAGGUUUCAUAUUCAUCAGGUUCACUACUUCUUUUACUAAGAGAGCUGUUGUGUUUCCAGAUAAAUCCAGUGAGAGAGAGAGAUCCACCAGUGGAAAGGACAGCACACCUCCAGCUCAAGAUAAAUCCAGUGAGAGAGAGAGAUCCACCAGUGGAAAGCACAGCACACCUCCAGCUCAAGGUUCUUCACAAAGGAGAAGAAAGUGGUCGGAGGAGGAGGUCCAGGCAGUGGAGAAGACGCUGAAUAGCUUCAUAAGGUCCAGGAGGGUUCCAGGAAAAGCAGACUGCGUGAGAUGUAUUGAGGAGUCUCCACAGGCCCUACAGGACAGGAGCUGGACAGCAGUAAAGUUCUAUGUCAAAAACCGAAUUGAUGCUGCCAAAAGAGGGAGAUAAGCUGCUGCUGCUCUGAAUUUAUUUUCAGUUAAGAAAAAGAGUUGAGUUGAAUUAGAACAGGUAUUCUAUCUUGCCAAGUUAAAAUGCACAAUAUUUGCAUUUCGUUCUGUGAUUAAUUUUUUGAUGUGCAUCUUUAACAGUGUUGGUUGAAUAAGCUGCCAAAAGAGGGAGAUGAGCUGCUGCUCUGAGUUUAUUUUGAGUUAAGAAAAGAGUUGAGUCGAGUUAGAAUAGGUUUUCUAUCUUGCUCUGGCAAGAUAGGCUCCAAGCUCUGGGCUCUGAAGGGUGGGAGCUGGACAGCAGGUAAAUGCACACCAUUUGCAUUUCGUUCUGUGAUUAAUUUUUUGAUGUGCAUCUUUAACCAUGUUGGUUGAAUAAGCUGCCAAAAGGGGGAGAUGAGCUGCUGCUGCUGCUCAUAGUUUAUUUUAGAGUCAGAGUCAGAGUUGAAUUAGAACAGGUGUAGGUAAAUGCACACCAUUUACAUUUUGUCAUUUAUAUUUUUGAUGUGCAUCUUUAACCGUUUUGGUUGAAUAAACCACUUCUCUUAUUGCA